Molecule: ribosomal RNA, 561 nt
Filed under: Papiliotrema laurentii
Lineage: Eukaryota; Fungi; Basidiomycota; Tremellomycetes; Tremellales; Rhynchogastremaceae
Description: partial large subunit ribosomal RNA
Rfam family: Eukaryotic large subunit ribosomal RNA
Source: RNAcentral
AAAUCUGGCGUCCUCAGGGCGUCCGAGUUGUAAUCUAUAGAGGCGUUUUCCGUGCCGGACCGUGUCCAAGUUCCUUGGAACAGGAUAUCAAAGAGGGUGACAAUCCCGUACUUGACACGACGACCGGUGCUCUGUGAUACGUCUUCUACGAGUCGAGUUGUUUGGGAAUGCAGCUCAAAAUGGGUGGUGAGUUCCAUCUAAAGCUAAAUAUUGGCGAGAGACCGAUAGCGAACAAGUACCGUGAGGGAAAGAUGAAAAGCACUUUGGAAAGAGAGUUAAACAGUACGUGAAAUUGUUGAAAGGGAAACGAUUGAAGUCAGUCGUGACCGAGAGGCUCAGCCGGUUCUGCCGGUGUAUUCCCCUCGGUCGGGUCAACAUCAGUUUUGUCCGGUGGAUAAGGACGGUAGGAAGGUGGCACCCUCGGGUGUGUUAUAGCCUGCCGUCGCAUACAUCGGGUGAGACUGAGGAACGCAGCUCGCCUUUAUGGCCGGGGUUCGCCCACGUCCGAGCUUAGGAUGUUGACAUAAUGGCUUUAAACGACCCGUCUUGAAACACGGACCA